This 498-nucleotide ribosomal RNA is filed under the name uncultured bacterium. Its description in RNAcentral is "partial 16S ribosomal RNA". It matches the Rfam family "Bacterial small subunit ribosomal RNA", at positions 27 to 507 of the family's 1533-position model. The record is from RNAcentral.
GGAUGAACGCUGGCGGCGUGCCUACUCCAUGCAAGUCGAGCGAACGGCCGAGAAGCUUGCUUCUCUGAUGUUAGCGGCGGACGGGUGAGUAACACGUGGAUAACCUACCUAUAAGACUGGGAUAACUUCGGGAAACCGGAGCUAAUACCGGAUAAUAUUUUGAACCGCAUGGUUCAAAAGUGAAAGACGGUCUUGCUGUCACUUAUAGCUGGAUCCGCGCUGCAUUAGCUAGUUGGUAAGGUAACGGCUUACCAAGGCAACGAUGCAUAGCCGACCUGAGAGGGUGAUCGGCCACACUGGAACUGAGACACGGUCCAGACUCCUACGGGAGGCAGCAGUAGGGAAUCUUCCGCAAUGGGCGAAAGCCUGACGGAGCAACGCCGCGUGAGUGAUGAAGGUCUUCGGAUCGUAAAACUCUGUUAUUAGGGAAGAACAUAUGUGUAAGUAACUGUGCACAUCUUGACGGUACCUAAUCAGAAAGCCACGGCUAACUACGUG